GGCCAGGAGGCUAGCAAUAGUGAGAGGAAGCCUGUAAUCCCCCUUCCUGAAGGGAGGAGGAAGAGGAAAGAGUCCAGGGUGAGAGCAGUAAGCGGUGUCAAUACGCACCCCAACUGUUCACUACAGGGCCCUGGACUGGAAUGCAGAGUAGAAGGUGGGUGUGGGUUCCCCUACCAACCACUGCCGAGUGGCACUGUUGAGGGCAGUGAAUUGGAAGACUGCCUGAAUCACUGGAUCAGUGACAGCAUCACUGCAGUGGCCGUGAAGAUGACCUGCUGCCAUAUGGACAGAAGAGACAUUGAAAGACAACUCCAGAAGAGGGAAAUGCUCAGUGAUCUGGCUUGAGGACUGAGUCACAAAGAGGCUGGAGUGAAAGAGAGAGAGUGCACAGCUGCAGGAAGGGGUGUUGACCAGGUGGAGCUAAUUCUCAGAACAGCCAGGCAGAGGCACCAUCCUGUGGACACCAUAAGGCAACUGGAAUUUUCCCUUAUCUAUUGAAUCUCGCUUACAAGGAUUAAUGAACAGGAGAUGGGAGUUUGUGCUACAGAAACUGAAUCUGUCCAGAGGAACUAAACAAGAGAGAAUGCUGCGUCUAAAAGGAAUGUGUGGAAUACAAGAAAAGCUGAAGCUAAUUAUUACUUUACAUAGCUCCUGUCAUAUUUCAGCUCUCCAGUCUUUAUACUCUAUCUGUGGCUUCCGAAUUGCUCCAGGCUCUUUUCUCACAUUUGAUUAAGGCAUCACACGAUGUCCUGACACUGAUAUGGCAGCUGCCCCCAGGCAAUUUAAAACAAAACAUAAAGGUGCAAGUGCACCUGCACAUACACACACAGGGAUUGCACUGACACCUUAGAGCUGGUCUUCUUGAAAGGGAUGACAGAUGUCCAGUGAUGCUAGGUCUCUGGCUGAGCCCUGAAGAACACUACU
Mauremys mutica (yellowpond turtle) is the source of this 924-nucleotide long non-coding RNA. RefSeq lists it as uncharacterized. Lineage: Eukaryota; Metazoa; Chordata; Testudines; Geoemydidae. The record is from RefSeq and is a predicted model, not a curated record. The transcript has 3 exons.